This 803-nucleotide ribosomal RNA is filed under the name Wolbachia sp. RNAcentral describes it as "bacterial SSU rRNA". It matches the Rfam family "Bacterial small subunit ribosomal RNA", at positions 76 to 918 of the family's 1533-position model. The record is from RNAcentral. Lineage: Bacteria; Pseudomonadati; Pseudomonadota; Alphaproteobacteria; Rickettsiales; Anaplasmataceae.
CUUGCUAUGGUAUAACUUAGUGGCAGACGGGUGAGUAAUGUAUAGGAAUCUACCUAGUAGUACGGAAUAAUUGUUGGAAACGGCAACUAAUACCGUAUACGCCCUAUGGGGAAAAAUUUAUUGCUAUUAGAUGAGCCUAUAUUAGAUUAGCUAGUUGGUGGAGUAAUAGCCUACCAAGGCAAUGAUCUAUAGCUGAUCUGAGAGGAUGAUCAGCCACACUGGAACUGAGAUACGGUCCAGACUCCUACGGGAGGCAGCAGUGGGGAAUAUUGGACAAUGGGCGAAAGCCUGAUCCAGCCAUGCCGCAUGAGUGAAGAAGGCCUUUGGGUUGUAAAGCUCUUUUAGUGAGGAAGAUAAUGACGGUACUCACAGAAGAAGUCCUGGCUAACUCCGUGCCAGCAGCCGCGGUAAUACGGAGAGGGCUAGCGUUAUUCGGAAUUAUUGGGCGUAAAGGGCGCGUAGGCUGGUUAAUAAGUUAAAAGUGAAAUCCCGAGGCUUAACCUUGGAAUUGCUUUUAAAACUAUUAGCCUAGAGAUUGAAAGAGGAUAGAGGAAUUCCUGAUGUAGAGGUAAAAUUCGUAAAUAUUAGGAGGAACACCAGUGGCGAAGGCGUCUAUCUGGUUCAAAUCUGACGCUGAAGCGCGAAGGCGUGGGGAGCAAACAGGAUUAGAUACCCUGGUAGUCCACGCUGUAAACGAUGAAUGUUAAAUAUGGGAAGUUUACUUUCUGUAUUACAGCUAACGCGUUAAACAUUCCGCCUGGGGACUACGGUCGCAAGAUUAAAACUCAAAGGAAUUGACGGGG